GAAACCGGGGGUAAUACCGUAUGAGUCCUCGUUGACGCAAGUCGACGAGGGGAAAGGCGGGGAUCCUUCGGGACCUGUCGUCUCUGGAUGGGCCCGCGUCCGAUUAGCUUGUUGGUGGGGUAAUGGCCCACCAAGGCUGCGAUCGGUAGCCGGCCUGAGAGGGUGAACGGCCACAUUGGGACUGAGACACGGCCCAGACUCCUACGGGAGGCAGCAGUGGGGAAUAUUGGGCAAUGGGGGAAACCCUGACCCAGCGACGCCGCGUGGAGGAUGAAGGCCUUCGGGUUGUAAACUCCUGUCAGGUGGGAAGAAGAGCUUGUCGGAUAAUACCCGGCAGGAAUUGACGGUACCACCAAAGGAAGCCCCGGCUAACUCCGUGCCAGCAGCCGCGGUAAUACGGAGGGGGCAAGCGUUAUUCGGAUUUACUGGGCGUAAAGCGCACGUAGGUGGCAUGGUAAGUCAAANGUGAAAGCCCUCGGCUCAACCGAGGAACUGCCUUU
This 500-nucleotide ribosomal RNA is filed under the name uncultured bacterium. Its description in RNAcentral is "bacterial SSU rRNA". It matches the Rfam family "Bacterial small subunit ribosomal RNA", at positions 153 to 628 of the family's 1533-position model. The record is from RNAcentral.